UACGUAGGGUCCGAGCGUUGUCCGGAAUCAUUGGGCGUAAAGCGCGUGUAGGCGGCCCAGUAAGUCGGAUGUGACAGCCCGAGCCUCAACUUCGGAAAUGCAUUCGGUACUACUGGGCUUGGGGAAGGUAGAGGAGAGUGGAAUUCCCGGGGUAGCGGUGAAAUGCGUAGAGAUGUGGAGGUACACCAGUGGCGAAGGCGACUUUCUGGUCUGUAACUGACGCUGAGGCGCGAAAGCGUGGGGAGCAAACAGG
RNAcentral lists this unclassified non-coding RNA (253 nucleotides) under uncultured Caryophanales bacterium. RNAcentral describes it as "uncultured Bacillales bacterium contains 16S-23S intergenic spacer region". It matches the Rfam family "Bacterial small subunit ribosomal RNA", at positions 524 to 776 of the family's 1533-position model. Lineage: Bacteria; Bacillati; Bacillota; Bacilli; Caryophanales. The record is from RNAcentral.